CAGCUAGGCCUAGCUUAAAGGUUAGUGAUGCUUAGUAUGAGUUUGCAUAAAGGGUAUAAAAGGCAUGGUGCUGGUACUGAUGAAAGCAUGCCAUCUUCAAGGAAGUUAUAGAAUAUUGAAUUUUACAUCUUUUAAUUUUGAGAAUACAGUAAGAAUGUAUGAUUACAUCUUGAACGGAAAUUGAUGAAAUUUCAUCAUAUUUUCUUUUUAACUAGGCCUCAACUAAUCAACAAUGAUUAUAUUGUGUCUUACAGCAUUCAUUUGGUUUAUUUUCCAUGACAUAUUUAUGGAUGAUGGUGAACAAC
Molecule: unclassified non-coding RNA, 305 nt
Filed under: Hevea brasiliensis (rubber tree)
Lineage: Eukaryota; Viridiplantae; Streptophyta; Magnoliopsida; Malpighiales; Euphorbiaceae
Source: RNAcentral